CCAAGGAGUGUAUUGCUAUGGCAAGUCAUUGAUAUUGUUAAUAUCAAAGGCGUAAUGAAAAUAAUUUUAAUCUCUGAUCUUUUGAUUUUAUUAUCAUUAGCGCAUGAGAAACGUAAAUAUAUGAUAUAAUCAUUUUUUGCAGUUAUAGCCAUAGUAGUGCGACCCGAAAGAUGGUGAACUAUACUAGUGCAGGGUGAAGUCAGAAGAAAUUCUGAUGGAAGCUCGAAGCGGUCCUGACGUGCAAAUCGGUCGUCUGACAUUAGUAUAGGGGCGAAAGACUAAUCGAACC
This 289-nucleotide ribosomal RNA is filed under the name Strongyloides ratti. RNAcentral's name for it is "partial 28S ribosomal RNA". It matches the Rfam family "Eukaryotic large subunit ribosomal RNA", at positions 666 to 941 of the family's 3401-position model. Lineage: Eukaryota; Metazoa; Nematoda; Chromadorea; Rhabditida; Strongyloididae. The record is from RNAcentral.